GACUUCUGGUUUAAUGCACCUGGCCCGCAUCCAACAGGUUUGUGAGUGCCGUCGCGCGUUUACCAUCCUUCCAGGAAACGAGUCUUCCCUAACUGGGCCGGACUCGAGAUCUGGAUCAUUUACUUUGAAAAAAUUAGAGUGUUUAAAGCAGGCUUUUGCUAUGAGUACAUUCGCAAAUAAUCUCGGACUAUUUUGUUGGUUUCUACAACUGAAGUAAUGAUUGUUGGGGAUAGUUGGGACCGGUCGGUGACAUUCUUGGAUUCGGUCAAGACUAACUUAUGUGAAAGCAUU
Molecule: ribosomal RNA, 291 nt
Filed under: uncultured Cercozoa
Lineage: Eukaryota; Cercozoa
Description: partial 18S ribosomal RNA
Rfam family: Eukaryotic small subunit ribosomal RNA (bases 104-291)
Source: RNAcentral